GCGACGCCGCGUGAGGGACGAAGGCCUUCGGGUUGUAAACCUCUUUCAGCAGGGAAGAAGCGAAAGUGACGGUACCUGCAGAAGAAGCGCCGGCUAACUACGUGCCAGCAGCCGCGGUAAUACGUAGGGCGCAAGCGUUAUCCGGAAUUAUUGGGCGUAAAGAGCUCGUAGGCGGUUUGUCGCGUCUGCUGUGAAAGCCCGGGGCUCAACCCCGGGUCUGCAGUGGGUACGGGCAGACUAGAGUGCAGUAGGGGAGACUGGAAUUCCUGGUGUAGCGGUGAAAUGCGCAGAUAUCAGGAGGAACACCGAUGGCGAAGGCAGGUCUCUGGGCUGUAACUGACGCUGAGGAGCGAAAGCAUGGGGAGCGAACAGGAUUAGAUACCCUGGUAGUCCAUGCCGUAAACGUUGGGCACUAG
This 416-nucleotide ribosomal RNA is filed under the name Arthrobacter citreus. Its description in RNAcentral is "bacterial SSU rRNA". It matches the Rfam family "Bacterial small subunit ribosomal RNA", at positions 391 to 819 of the family's 1533-position model. The record is from RNAcentral. Lineage: Bacteria; Bacillati; Actinomycetota; Actinomycetes; Micrococcales; Micrococcaceae.